Molecule: ribosomal RNA, 227 nt
Filed under: uncultured bacterium
Lineage: Bacteria
Description: partial 16S ribosomal RNA
Rfam family: Bacterial small subunit ribosomal RNA
Source: RNAcentral
CGGGUGAGUAAUGCUUGGGAAUCUAGCUUAUGGAGGGGGAUAACUACGGGAAACUGUAGCUAAUACCGCGUAGUAUCGGAAGAUGAAAGUGUGGGACCUUCGGGCCACAUGCCAUAGGAUGAGCCCAAGUGGGAUUAGGUAGUUGGUGAGGUAAAGGCUCACCAAGCCGACGAUCUCUAGCUGGCUGAGAGGAUGACCAGCCACACUGGGACUGAGACACGGCCCAG